UACGAAGGGGGCUAGCGUUGCUCGGAAUCACUGGGCGUAAAGGGUGCGUAGGCGGGUCUUUAAGUUAGGGGGGAAAUCCUGGAGCUCAACUCCAGAACUGCCUUUGAUACUGAAGAUCUUGAGUUCGGGAGAGGUGAGUGGAACUGCGAGUGUAGAGGUGAAAUUCGUAGAUAUUCGCAAGAACACCAGUGGCGAAGGCGGCUCACUGGCCCGAUACUGACGCUGAGGCACGAAAGCGUGGGGAGCAAACAGG
RNAcentral lists this ribosomal RNA (253 nucleotides) under uncultured bacterium. Its description in RNAcentral is "partial 16S ribosomal RNA". It matches the Rfam family "Bacterial small subunit ribosomal RNA", at positions 524 to 776 of the family's 1533-position model. The record is from RNAcentral.